GAUUCAGUAACACUCGGUAGAGCAGCGCCCUUUUAAGGCGUUGGUUCCGGGUUCGAGUCCCGGCCGACCCA
RNAcentral lists this transfer RNA (71 nucleotides) under Verrucomicrobiota bacterium. Its description in RNAcentral is "Verrucomicrobia bacterium tRNA-Lys". It matches the Rfam family "tRNA". From Rfam's summary of the family: Transfer RNA (tRNA) molecules are approximately 80 nucleotides in length. Their secondary structure includes four short double-helical elements and three loops (D, anti-codon, and T loops). Further hydrogen bonds mediate the characteristic L-shaped molecular structure. tRNAs have two regions of fundamental functional importance: the anti-codon, which is responsible for specific mRNA codon recognition, and the 3' end, to which the tRNAs corresponding amino acid is attached (by aminoacyl-tRNA synthetases). tRNAs cope with the degeneracy of the genetic code in two manners: having more than one tRNA (with a specific anti-codon) for a particular amino acid; and 'wobble' base-pairing, i.e. permitting non-standard base-pairing at the 3rd anti-codon position. Lineage: Bacteria; Pseudomonadati; Verrucomicrobiota. The record is from RNAcentral.